GUCAUUGAGAAAGCAAACAGUUCUUGCUCCUUCCAUUCUACCAGACGAGCCACAAAAAAAGGACAGAUCAACAAAGCAGCCAUGAUAGGGAAUUUAUCUGAAUUUCAAGCAUCACAAACAGACCCUGUUUCUGAAGACAAGCUUCACUGGGAACUUGAAUAUGUAUAAGAAGAUGAAUGUGUCCAGGUACACAAUUCUCACCACUGAAAUGCAGCUGGAUAACAGCUAUGUCUCCUUAUGAAGGUGACUCUCUGACUCCUCAUUUUCCUUUUUCCUGCCCGAAGUGUGUUCAGAGGAAUGAUGGUAAAACAGCCAUCUUGCACCCAGGAGGGUAAGAGUCCGGCCCUACACUGAGCACGGAGGAACAGCAAGAAGGAAAGAGCCCAGGGCAACAAGGACAUUGUAAAGCCAGACUGAGAAAAAUAACCACCUAUUUGUUUGAGCCAUUGUUGUUACAUUCCUGUUACACUGCUUCUAAAAGCAAAUCCUAACUCAUACUUAUGCAAACAUAGGAAAAGGUGGCUCCCCAGAUGGUGCAGUGGAAAAAAAUCUGCCUGCCAAUGUAGGAGGCUCAAGAGUAGCAGG
Molecule: long non-coding RNA, 585 nt
Organism: Capra hircus (goat)
Lineage: Eukaryota; Metazoa; Chordata; Mammalia; Artiodactyla; Bovidae
Exons: 3
Source: RefSeq, a predicted model, not a curated record